Rhagoletis pomonella (apple maggot) is the source of this 549-nucleotide long non-coding RNA. RefSeq lists it as uncharacterized. Lineage: Eukaryota; Metazoa; Arthropoda; Insecta; Diptera; Tephritidae. The record is from RefSeq and is a predicted model, not a curated record. The transcript has 2 exons.
GUCGUUUGACCAUUCCAGCCGUGUAUGGAGAAUCUAGUAGCCGAAAAAGGAAUAAAGCAAAAAACAUGUUCAAGUUCAGAGUAUGAAUCAUCACUAUCCAGUUAAAUUUAUUGUUUUCCGUAUUGACUUAACUUACCUGACUGGCAGCUGGCAUUAAAGUUUGAGGCCAACAGCCGAUUGCGGUCGCCAGUUAACAGUACUUCCCGUUUGUAUGGAUUCAACCGCGUAAACAGAUCGUAUCUUAAUUGCUUUUGGCGUGGACGUGAUCCUGGAUCAAGUAUUUGACGUGCCCCCUUCGUAACAAGUCCCGCUAUAAAUUCCACUGUAAACGGUUCACAAUCACCCAACUGGUUUUGAAAUUUGGAAGUUUUGUAUUCAUUGAAUGCUGCUCAAGCGAUGGUGGAGUGAGUCAUUGAGGAGAGAAGCAGUAAAUGCAAUGACAUUAAAAUACAAGUAUGUGUUUGUGAGGAUACAUGUAAAGAAAAGUCCAAAAAGAAAUAUGCCUUUGAAUAAAAUGUAUACAUUUACAUACAUAAUUAUGAUACUUAA